UACAGAGGGUGCAAGCGUUGUUCGGAAUCACUGGGCGUAAAGGGUGCGUAGGCGGGUCUUUAAGUCAGGGGUGAAAUCCUGGAGCUCAACUCCAGAACUGCCUUUGAUACUGAAGAUCUUGAGUUCGGGAGAGGUGAGUGGAACUGCGAGUGUAGAGGUGAAAUUCGUAGAUAUUGGGAAGAACACCGGUGGCGAAGGCGGCUCUCUGGACCGACACUGACGCUGAUGUGCGAAAGCGUGGGGAGCAAACAGG
Molecule: ribosomal RNA, 253 nt
Filed under: uncultured bacterium
Lineage: Bacteria
Description: partial 16S ribosomal RNA
Rfam family: Bacterial small subunit ribosomal RNA
Source: RNAcentral